Long non-coding RNA from Cucurbita moschata (crookneck pumpkin), 539 nucleotides. RefSeq lists it as uncharacterized. Lineage: Eukaryota; Viridiplantae; Streptophyta; Magnoliopsida; Cucurbitales; Cucurbitaceae. The record is from RefSeq and is a predicted model, not a curated record. The transcript is spliced from 2 exons.
CCGGGCCGAAUUGCAACGCGAGCCGAGCCGACCGGAUCGGGCCGGGCCGGGCGACCCGCGACUGUGCAGAAUUGGGCGCGCGUGCAGCCUGCGGCUGGCGCCUUCCCGCGCGCGUGGCCACGCACUUCCAGCGUGCUGCUGGGCGCGUGAGCGCGCGUGGAACGGCCAGUUUGGCCCGGUUGUUUUCUGUUUUCUCGAUUUUUGUCCCGGCUCCAGUUCUAAUACUGUUUUUACGUGGAUAGGGACUUAAUUUAGAGAAAUCAGUAGUGUUGGACACCUCACGGGCAAAGAAACGCUAGCGAAGGGGCACGCGUCAACCAGGGGCGCGAGGCGUCGGUCAAGAGUGGGCGUGAUCUGAAGGGAAUUGUCACAGAGGAAUGGGUUGUCCCGGGGCGUCAGUCCAGUCUUAGUCAUCAUUUUUGUAUUCGCAUUCUUUUUAAAUUUAUUUUCCAAACGGUCUUGUGUUCUGUGUUUAUCGUUCGAAAAACUUUAUUGAAAUUUGAUGAUUUUCGCUACUUCAUAUUUAAAUCUCUUGUGCA